Molecule: ribosomal RNA, 522 nt
Filed under: Triticum aestivum (bread wheat)
Lineage: Eukaryota; Viridiplantae; Streptophyta; Magnoliopsida; Poales; Poaceae
Description: partial small subunit ribosomal RNA
Source: RNAcentral
AUGGGCAAGUCUUCGACAACCCCCGUAAUUCCAGAGUCAGAAGAACAAGUAUUGGUGACCCCAGACGCCAAUACUGAGCAAGAUGAAGAACACCAUGAUGAUCGGGGUGACCCGCCCCCGCAGACAGAAAAAACAGCCUCCGAUGCUAUGGAUGCUGAUGCCAACCCAGCAGGCAACCCUGACCCGCCGAGUUCCAUUCCUUCAAGUCCUCUCGAAGCAACAGAAGAGACUCCUCCCGAGAAGAAUGAUGACGAUGUUGCCAUUAUUGGGGCGGGUUAUAAAACACCAGGAAUCACCAAUCUGUUAACGAAGCACACAACCAAGGAGGAGAAACUUUUGUCUGAGAAAGGCAAAUCAAAACUUGAGCUGUCAGGUUAUGAAGGCCUCAAUGCUGAAGAUUUACAUGCUGGCUAUGUAAGCCGCCUGGUCACAAGCCGGGACAUGGAGGCUAGCUUAGUGAAUACAAUGAAAAGAAGUAUGAGGAAGCAUUAUCUUUGGGCGACUCAGACCUCACCGGUUUGA